This is a long non-coding RNA of Oncorhynchus keta (chum salmon), 1380 nucleotides long. RefSeq lists it as uncharacterized. The record is from RefSeq and is a predicted model, not a curated record. NCBI's taxonomy places the organism in Eukaryota, Metazoa, Chordata, Actinopteri, Salmoniformes, Salmonidae. The transcript has 3 exons.
CACAGGUUACACCUGACCCUGGGGUAGGAGAGACACAGGUUACACCUGACCCUGGGGUAGGAGAGACACAGGUUACACCUGACCCUGAGGUAGGAGAGACACAGGUUACACCUGACCCCGAGGUAGGAGAGACACAGGUUACACCUGACCCCGAGGUAGGAGAGACACAGGUUACACCUGACCCCGAGGUAGGAGAGACACAGGUUACACCUGACCCCGAGGUAGGGGAGACACAGGUUACACCUGACCCCGAGGUAGGGGAGACACAGGUUACACCUGACCCCGAGGUAGGGGAGACACAGGUUACACCUGACCCCGAGGUAGGGGAGACACAGGUUACACCUGACCCCGAGGUAGGGGAGACACAGGUUACACCUGACCCCGAGGUAGGGGAGACACAGGUUACACCUGACCCCGAGGUAGGGGAGACACAGGUUACACCUGACCCCGAGGUAGGGGAGACACAGGUUACACCUGACCCCGAGGUAGGGGAGACACAGGUUACACCUGACCCCGAGGUAGGGGAGACACAGGUUACACCUGACCCCGAGGUAGGGGAGACACAGGUUACACCUGACCCCGAGGUAGGGGAGACACCGGUUACAUGACUUUACAGUCAUGUGUCUACCAUAAACACCUCUCUGAUCAGACAGGAUUUGUAUGUGAUUAUAAUUAUCUUCAUAUUGCUCCCGAGUGGCGCGGUGUUCUGCAUCUCAGUGCUAGGUGUGUCACUACAGACACCCUGGUUCGAAUCCAGGCUCUAUCACAGUAGGCCGUGAUUGGGAGUCCCAUAGGGUGGCGCACAAUAGGCCCGGCGUCGCCGGGUUAGGCCGUUGUUGUAAAAUAAGAAUUUGUUCUUAACUGCCAUGCCUUUGAUAAGGCGGCAGGUAGCCUAGUGGUUGGAGCGCUGUGCCAGUAACCCAAGCCGGCAAGGUAAAACAAAAUCUAUGUGCCCUUGAGCAAGGCACUUAACCCUAAUUGUUCCAGGGUUGCUGUUGUAUCAGGUGUGUCCUUGCUGCCAACGCUCACUAAUCCUGUUUCAUUCUUUAGUUAUCAAUGGCUGACCCUGGCCGUGACCCCACUCUGUGAGGGGGUCUCAGGAGGAGAUGGGAGGGAAAAAAAAUCUAAUUCACACAUGUAUAAUAUAUUCUUGUACAUUUGUGAAAUGGGACAAAUGUAAACACCCAAAUGAUUAUUGUCUUAUAACAGACGAGGAUGCUUAAAUGUAUGGCUCCAUAGUAAUGUAAAUAUGAAGCCUAUACAUUUUUCAGCUAGAUUGUUUUGGGUCUGUCAUAGUUUUCUGCUGUUUGAUCGUUGCUGACUGUAGACUGUGUGUUCCUGGGGGAUGCCGUUGACAGCCCUACUGGUGUGUGUUAUUGA